RNAcentral lists this transfer RNA (697 nucleotides) under uncultured bacterium. RNAcentral describes it as "partial may contain 16S ribosomal RNA, 16S-23S ribosomal RNA intergenic spacer, and 23S ribosomal RNA". The stretch from base 197 to 270 matches the Rfam family "tRNA". The record is from RNAcentral.
UCGGAAGGUGCGGCUGGAUCACCUCCUUUCUGGAAAACAAGCACUCAAAUUCUUGCGCCCACCCUUAUCGGCUGUAAAUUGACAACAGUGGAAGUGCACGUGAGCCUGGCUGAGUCGUCGGAUGGCUGAGCCAGCUGACGCAGCGAAAAACAAGAUCGACGACGGGCUCACGACAAACGCGCGAAGCGGUUAACGUGGGUCUGUAGCUCAGUCGGUUAGAGCACCGUCUUGAUAAGGCGGGGGUCGUUGGUUCGAAUCCAACCAGACCCACCACACGUUGACGUGGGGGAUUAGCUCAGCUGGGAGAGCACCUGCUUUGCAAGCAGGGGGUCGUCGGUUCGAUCCCGUCAUCCUCCACCACUUCCUGAUGUCGAUGCAAACCCAAGCAGCUGCCGUGUGCGGCUGCUUGGCUUUGCCAUCGCAAGUUGGCUGUUGUUCUUUAACAAUUCAUAGAGUCGAAUCUACGUUGUCGACGGAAAGUGCACCGGGGGUAAAGGCCUGGAGCACACCGUGCCGUCGACAGCAUUAUGAUUGCGUCAACAGAUACUUCAGCUCAGCUGUAUCGUCAGAUACACGAGUUUGAAGCGGCAUAACGCGAAAUACUCAACUCUGGCCGAUUAGUCGUCGGUCAGGGAGCAGUCCUUGACGAUGUCCUGCGGGACGUCAAAGUUAUAGGGUCAAGUGACUAAGUGCAUGU